This 27-nucleotide non-coding RNA is filed under the name Homo sapiens (human). Lineage: Eukaryota; Metazoa; Chordata; Mammalia; Primates; Hominidae. The record is from RNAcentral.
UGCCAAGUUGAAGACCCAUGUAGGGAA